RNAcentral lists this long non-coding RNA (604 nucleotides) under Sus scrofa (pig). Its description in RNAcentral is "lncRNA (ENSSSCG00070013317.1)". Lineage: Eukaryota; Metazoa; Chordata; Mammalia; Artiodactyla; Suidae. The record is from RNAcentral.
AUGGCUUUCGGGAUUUUCCUUCCUUUCAAAGAAAUCCAGUGGAUUAUUCAAGCAUUUUUUUCCCCUUUAAGCGUGUGUUCCCACUUUUCUUUCUUUUUUUUUUUAUUUCUUCUUCUUCCCUUUUUUUUUUUUUUUUUGGUACCUAAAUGUUCAACAGAGUUUCUUUUUACAAUGGAUUCAACAAUCAGACUUUCAUAUAUGGGGAGAAGACUCACCAAUUUUUAUUUCGCAGGAUCUUCCUUGGAAAGUAUCUUAGGACACAAAACUCACAUGGCUUCGCAACACUUCAGAUAACUUAUUACUAAGUUAAAAAGGAAUGGAAAUACUCCUUCAGGCUUCUCCAGUUUCACCGUGUGCUGCCAGGUCAACAUUCUCAACACAGCUAAGCAGGGACAGAUGGUGCCCAUUCCCUCAGUGACAGAAUCAUCCAGCAAUGUCAACAGCAUUUACAUCCUUGAGAGAGAGAUGCCUUAUGACUAAAAGUUUCUCACCAUGUGUACUCCAGAAUGCAGAAAUGAAAGUCUUAUAACAACUCAUAGCCAAUUAUGUUCAAAUUUAAUUACAUGAAUCAUUUAGAAAUAAACUCAGUUACUUUGUUUUAUCA